AUUAACGCUGGCGGCGUGCUUUAUGCAUGCAAGUCGAACGGUUUUGAUUUAUCAAGACAGUGGCAGACGGGUGCGUAACGCGUAAGUAACCUGCCCCUAAGUGGGGAAUAGCUCGGAGAAAUCUGAGAUAAUACCGCAUGUGGUCGUUCACCGCCGGGUGAAUGACUAAGGCCGUAAGGCGCUUGGGGAGGGGCUUGCGUCCGAUUAGCUAGUUGGUGAGGUAACGGCCCACCAAGGCGAUGAUCGGUAGCUGAUCUGAGAGGAUGACCAGCCACACUGGGACUGAGACACGGCCCAGACUCCUACGGGAGGCAGCAGCAAGGAAUAUUGUGCAAUGGGCGAAAGCCUGACACAGCGACGCCGCGUGAGGGAUGAAGACCCUCGGGUUGUAAACCUCUUUUGUUAGGGAAGAAUAAUGACGGUACCUGACGAAUAAGUCUCGGCCAACUACGU
RNAcentral lists this ribosomal RNA (453 nucleotides) under uncultured bacterium. RNAcentral's name for it is "bacterial SSU rRNA". It matches the Rfam family "Bacterial small subunit ribosomal RNA", at positions 29 to 506 of the family's 1533-position model. The record is from RNAcentral.